UCCGUAGGUGAACCUGCGGAAGGAUCAUUACCUGGCCUUGGGCCGCUCGCGGGAGCUAGUCGCUUGCGACGACGCUGCUGAGAGCGCUUAGCCCUUGACUAUCACCUUGACUACGUGCACCUUUUGUUGUUUCCUCGGCAGGUCAUCUGUCGCCAGGAACCCCCCUAAACCUUUUGCAAACAGCAUUCAAACUUCUGAAAACAAACCAAAUCAUUUACAACUUUUAACAAUGGAUCUCUUGGUUCUGGCAUCGAUGAAGAACGCAGCGAAAUGCGAUAAGUAGUGUGAAUUGCAGAAUUCAGUGAAUCAUCGAAUCUUUGAACGCACAUUGCGCCCCUUGGUAUUCCAUGGGGCAUGCCUGUUCGAGCGUCAUUUGUACCUUCAAGCUUUGCUUGGUGUUGGGUGUUUGUCCUCUCCCUGGUGUUAGGACUCGCCUUAAAACAAUUGGCAGCCAGUGUUUUGGUAUUGAAGCGCAGCACAAGUCGCGAUUCUAACCUAAUAACACUUGCGUCCACAAGCCUUUUUUUCACUUUUGGACCUCGGAUCAGGUAGGGAUACCCGCUGAACUUAAGCAUAUCAAUAAGCGGAGGAAGUCGA
RNAcentral lists this ribosomal RNA (597 nucleotides) under uncultured fungus. RNAcentral's name for it is "eukaryotic LSU rRNA". The stretch from base 219 to 372 matches the Rfam family "5.8S ribosomal RNA". The record is from RNAcentral. Lineage: Eukaryota; Fungi.